ACGAACGCUGGCGGCGUGCUUAACACAUGCCAGUCGAACGGAAAGGCCCUGCUUUUGUGGGGUGCUCGAGUGGCGAACGGGUGAGUAACACGUGAGUAACCUGCCCUUGACUUUGGGAUAACUUCAGGAAACUGGGGCUAAUACCGGAUAGGAGCUCCUGCUGCAUGGUGGGGGUUGGAAAGUUUCGGCGGUUGGGGAUGGACUCGCGGCUUAUCAGCUUGUUGGUGGGGUAGUGGCUUACCAAGGCUUUGACGGGUAGCCGGCCUGAGAGGGUGACAGGCCACAUUGGGACUGAGAUACGGCCCAGACUCCUACGGGAGGCAGCAGUGGGGAAUAUUGCACAAUGGGCGGAAGCCUGAUGCAGCAACGCCGCGUGCGGGAUGACGGCCUUCGGGUUGUAAACCGCUUUCGCCUGUGACGAAGCGUGAGUGACGGUAAUGGGUAAAGAAGCACCGGCUAACUACGUG
This 467-nucleotide ribosomal RNA is filed under the name uncultured bacterium. RNAcentral describes it as "partial 16S ribosomal RNA". It matches the Rfam family "Bacterial small subunit ribosomal RNA", at positions 29 to 507 of the family's 1533-position model. The record is from RNAcentral.